CUCCGAGGCAAUCUUUCACAUUCCUGUGAGAAAAUGAGUUCACUGUCCUUUCUUGAUCUCUCAAGAAACUCGUUCACGGGUUAUUUACCACCAACCCUGCCAUCAAAGCUGAAAUACUUGGAUAUUUCUGAUAAUGAAAUGUGAUAGUUUUUAUAUAUCAUGGAGUUAAUACUCCAUUGUUGCAGGUUACUGCAAUAUCAAAGAAAUGACAGUAAGAAACUUGAAGAAGAAAGAGAAGAAGCUAAUAGAUUUUCUAUAUUUCAAGUAUACAAUAAUGACUCCUAUUUAUAGGGAUCAUGUCAUUUCUAUUUGAUCACAUUUUUGGAGUGGAAGUUAGUUACAACUAACUACAAGUUGCCUAACUACUUCCAUGACUCCUAACUAACUAAUUCUAACAAACCUAACUACCUAUUGGACUUAUGUAAUUCCAAUACUCCCCCUCAAGCUGGAAUCUCUAUAGACAUUAAAGACUCCAAGCUUGUUGAUCAGUUCAAGAUGUUGAGAAACUCCCAGCCCUUUGGUUAGAAGAUCUGCUAAUUGCUCCUUUGUGUUGAUAUAUUCUGUGUGUAUCAUACCACUUUUGAUUUUUUCCCUCACAAAAUGACAAUCAAUCUCAAUGUGUUUGGUUCUUUCAUGAAAAAUAGGAUUAGCUCCAAUUUGAAUUGCAGCCUUACUAUCACAGUGCAAUUUUACAGGAACUAUCACAUUCACAUUAAGUUCUUUCAAUACUCCAAGUAACCAAGAUAUUUCUGAUACUGCAGCUGCCAUGCUUCUAUACUCAGCUUCUGCUGAACUUCUGCUGACUGUAUGUUGCUUCUUGGAUUUCCAAGAAAUGAGUGAAUUCCCUAGCUUGAUUACAUACCCUGUCACUGACCUUCUUGUGUUUGGACAUGAUGCCCAGUCUGAGUCACAGAAUGCCUCCAUUUCAUUGCUGUCUUCACUGCUAAGUAGUAUCCCUUGUCCUGGACAUCCUUUAAUAUAUCUAACCAAUCUCAAUGCAGCUUCCCAGUGAGACACCUUAGGUUUCUGCAUGAACUGUGAUAAAACUUGUACAGCAAAACAUAUAUCAGGCCUAGUAGUUGUUAAGUAUAACAAUCUACCAAUUAAUCUCUGAUAUGCAGUAACAUUUGCAUAUAAAGGAUCAUCUGUCUUUGCAGUGGCUUCAUCAUAUUCAACAGUAGUUAAUUUGACACCUGAUUCUAAAGGUGUGCUUGCUGGUUUUGACCCUCCAAGACCACAGUCAGAAAUCAACUCUAGUGCAUACUUUCUUUGGCUAAGAAUAAUACCAUUUCUUGAUCUUAGUACUUCAAUACCAAGAAAAUACUUUAGAUCACCAAGAUCUUUCAUUUUGAAGUUACUAUGUAAUGUAGUCUUUAGAUCCUCAAUUAGAACACUGCUAUUUCCAGUUAUAAGAAGAUCAUCUACAUAGAUCAACACUGCUGCAAUAUCAUCACCAACUAUCUUUGUGAAAAGAGAAUGAUCAUAAGAACUUUGAGAAUAACCAGCAGUAACUAGAGCCUCAGUUAGCUUAAGGUUCCAUUGCCUGGAAGUUUGUUUCAAGCCAUAUAAAGAUUUCAACAAUUUACACACUUUGUUCUCCCCCUGCCUCUGAAAUCCUUGAGGAAAGUCCAUGUAUACUUCUUCAUUGAGAUCACCUUGAAGGAAAGCAUUAUGAACAUCCAUUUGAAAAAGAGGCCAACCAUGGGAUGCUGCAACACUAAUCACAGUUCUCACUGUGACCAUCUUAGCUACUGGAGAAAAUGUUUCAUGAUAGUCCAACCCUUCUUGUUGAUUAUAGCCUUUGGCAACUAACCUUGCCUUGUACCUUUCCACCUCACCAUUAGCUUUAAGUUUAACUUUAUAAACCCAUUUUGAACCAAUAGGAUGUUUACCAGAUGGCAAAUCUACUAUUGCCCAGGUAUUGUUUUGUUCUAAAGCAGCUACUUCAGACUGCAUUGCAUCCACCCAUUGUUGGUGUUUGGAGGCUUCCUUAAAGCUGGUGGGUUCCACUAUAACUGAGAACCCCUUGAUAAAGUUUUGAUAAGAUGGUGUCAAGAGUUCAUAUGACAAAUUAUUAGCAAUAGGAUAUGAACAAGUCAUAUUAGACUUAGUUGAAAUUAUGUAAUCUUUAUGCCAAAGAGGAGGCCUAGUAUUUCUAGCAGUUCUUCUAGCAGGUGUAAGAUCACCAUCAUCUGUGAUUUCACUAUGUUGUGGCUCCAGCAGAUUAUUCUCUAAAGAAGCAUCAACUUCUGAUUGUAUAGGAUUGAUCUCCUCAACAUGAUCUUCAAUAGAAUCUACAGGAUUUGAAGGUAUAUUAUCAUCUGCAUGAUCAAACAUAUCCAUUUGUAUAGGAGCAGUAUAAUCUGUGGUUGAUGAUACUUCUUUUGUGAUAACAUCUUUGAAAGGAAAUGAAUCUUCCAUGAAUGUAACCUCCCUGCUCACUGAUAUGACAUGAGUCUCCAAAUCCAUGACUUUAUAUCCUUUUUGUGUCUCUGAGUACCCAAUGAAGACUGAUCUUGUUGCUCUUGGAGCAAAUUUAUCUCUUCUUGGCAAAACUGAUACAAAACAUAAACAUCCAAACACCCUCAAAUGUUCUAGAUUAGGUGCUCGUUUAUAAAGAAGUUCAUAUGGUGACUUCCCUUGUAAUACAGUUGUAGGCAUUCUGUUUAUCAGAUAAGCUGCAGUUUUAACACAAUUUCCCCAAAAUCUGAUAGGAAUUUCACUGUGAAAUCUCAGUGCUCUGGCUACAUUUAAUAUGUGUCUAUGCUUUCUUUCAACAACACUAUUUUGUUGAGGUGUAUAAGCACAUGAACUCUGAUGAACUAUUCCAAGAGAAGAAAACAAAACACUGCAUUUAGAGUUAAAAAACUCAGUUCCAUUAUCAGUUCUCACAACUUGAACUUUAACACCAAAUUGUGUAUUAACCAUCAACAUAAAGUCUUUCAAUAUAAUGUGCACAUCUGAUUUGUGUUGAACUAGACAAAGCCAAGUAAAUCUACUGAAAUCAUCAACAAUUGUCACAAAAUACUGCUUAUUAUCAUGUGUAAGAACUUUGUAAGGUCCCCAGAGAUCAACAUGAAGAAGUUGAAAAUUAUGAGUUGACUUAGAAUUACUUGUAGGAAAACUCAAUCUACUUUGUUUGGCCACUGGACAUAUUUGACAGCAAUUGUAUGUGGAGAUGUUGAAGUACUUCUUAAGAGAAAUUAUCUGUUCCAUAACUUUGAUAGGUGGAUGUCCAAGUCUGAAAUGCCACAAGUCAGCCAAACUUGCACCCUUUUUUGAUGUUGAAGCUGAAUUAACUCUUGCUCUAACAGUACUUUGUAGUAGGUAUAAACCAUCAAUCUCUUUACCAAUCCCAAUCACCUUGCCAUUGUAAAGUUCCUGCAGUACACAAAAGUGAGGAAAGAAACUCACACUACAAGAUAAUUCCUUGGUGAGUUUUGCCACAGAUAGUAAAUUGAACUUAAAAUCAGGUACAUGAAGUACAUUCUUCACUGUCUGAUUUCCAAAAAUGACUGAAUUGCCUGUAUGUUUCACUUGAGCUCUGCUUCCUGUUGGCAACUGAACUGUACUCGAGUAUUCAUUCUUUGUGUUUUUCAAUUCAUACAUGAGCUCCUCAUAUGAAGCAACAUGAUGAGUAGCUCCUGAAUCAAUUAUCCAGUCAUAUGCAGAUGAUUUAGUCUGUAAAGAAACAUUACCUGUCAAGUUAGCCUUGCAGUCACUUGGUUCUUUGUUGUGUAACAGAUUCUUCAUUUGAUUGUAUUCUUUCUUUGUGAAUUCAGAUUCCUCCCUCUGUUUAUCUAUUGAAGCAUUGUUAGCAUAUGGCUUAAAGUUUCCAGAAUUUCCAGUGUUGUUGUAAGUAUUACUACUGUAAGAACCAUGUGAUCUAAAACCUUCAUUGUUGUUCUGGUAUGAUCCAGUAGAAUCUGAUUGUUUCCUCUUACUCUUGAAGUCAGAAGGAUAUCCUACCAGCCUAUAGCACUUUUCAGUUACAUGAUUUUUGAAACCACAGAUCUCACAUCCAGUAUUGUUAUUGCCUGGCAAUACUUUCUUCCCUUUGAAUCCUUGUCCUUGUCCUUUUCCUGCCAUCAUAGUAAGUGGUUCUUUAUUUGAAUCCACAACACCUAAUACUCUUUGGCUUUCCUCUUGAAUUACAGUUGCAUAAGCUUGGUUAAUUGUAGGUACCUCACUUUUCAGCAACAAAUCACUUCUCACAUGACUGAAAGUCUCAUUUAACCCCAUCAAGAACAUCAUCAAUCUUUGUUGAUGUAAAUGCUCAAUGUAAGGCUUAGCAUCAUCACAUUUACAUGAUGGUGAAGGCACCAAUACAUCAUACUCAUCCCAUAAAUCCCUCAAUUUAGAAUAAUACUCUGUUACAGAAUCCGUACCUUGCUUUAAUGUGGCUACUUCUGUCCAAAGUUGAUAGAUCCUAGUAAGAUUAGAUUUAUCAAACCUCUCCUUGAAAUCUUCCCAAACUCGUUUUGCAUUUGAUGCAUAUACUAUUGUUGUUAACAAAUUGUUUGCUACUGUGCUGCUAAUCCAUGAAAGAACCACUGCAUUGCACCUUUCCCAUUGAACUGCUAAUUCAUCCUUGUACAUACUCUUUAAACAGGUUCCAUCUAUGAAGCCUAUCUUGUUCUUCACCAACAGUGCCAAUCUCAUCGAUCUGCUCCAAAGACCAUAAUUCUCAGGUCCUGUAAGCUUUGUUGUGAUCAAUGCAACACCAGGCGUGUCUGAAGGCUGCAGAUAGAGUGGAUGAUUGUGUCCAAGAGUUGCUACAGUAAGUUCUGCCAUGGCUAUAAUCUGAUCUUCAAAAAUUACUUCGCGGAAAGAAAAAAUUCGAAAUCAAAUUAGUCCUAAUUACGCCCGCUCUGAUACCAUGAUAGUUUUUAUAUAUCAUGGAGUUAAUACUCCAUUGUUGCAGGUUACUGCAAUAUCAAAGAAAUGACAGUAAGAAACUUGAAGAAGAAAGAGAAGAAGCUAAUAGAUUUUCUAUAUUUCAAGUAUACAAUAAUGACUCCUAUUUAUAGGGAUCAUGUCAUUUCUAUUUGAUCACAUUUUUGGAGUGGAAGUUAGUUACAACUAACUACAAGUUGCCUAACUACUUCCAUGACUCCUAACUAACUAAUUCUAACAAACCUAACUACCUAUUGGACUUAUGUAAUUCCAAUAAAAUGGAAGGUCCUUUAGGAAGAAGCAUCACACAACUUAAGCAAUUAGUUGUCCUCAAUGUUGCUCGAAACUCUUUCAAUGACUCGAUUACAGAACAUUUCUUGAAUUUAACUGAUUUGAGAGUGUUAGACUUGUCAUCCA
This 5313-nucleotide long non-coding RNA is filed under the name Solanum lycopersicum (tomato). RNAcentral's name for it is "long non-coding RNA (SLYC_LNC000979)". Lineage: Eukaryota; Viridiplantae; Streptophyta; Magnoliopsida; Solanales; Solanaceae. The record is from RNAcentral.